Molecule: long non-coding RNA, 614 nt
Organism: Athalia rosae (coleseed sawfly)
Lineage: Eukaryota; Metazoa; Arthropoda; Insecta; Hymenoptera; Athaliidae
Exons: 2
Source: RefSeq, a predicted model, not a curated record
GCUUUAUUACAAGGAUUUAAAAUCGCUCGGUCUUCGUCGCACCCGUUGGUCCCGUUGCGCGUUCCGUACCUCGAUACGCCGGUGGUAAACCCAAGGCAAACGACCGCGGAUACAACCGAACCACCCUGUAGGAUUAUACCUGUUUUAACACGGGACACUUCACACCGAUGUAAGCGUAACGUUUGCGCGUCUCUUUUCCAUAGAGGCAGAAGCGAUCGAAGAAUAUGGGAAAAUCGUCUAUCGCCGAACGCGAUAACGUUCUCGCCUGGGCCCAAAAUUCGGACGCGGCAAGGUCGAUUUCUCGUACACCGUAAAUCAACAACGGCUUGUAAGCGACGACCGCCGAGGAUAUCCUCAGUUGCAGUCCGAACGCCCACGAAACUGGAUCUCCGGGGACGGCGGUAGUCCGUCGGAUCGACGUACGGAUGCGACGCAGACUGGGGGACUUGAAAACGUUCGAUGAGCCCCGCUUGGAAACACGAGUAUUUUCUACCAUCUGCCCCCGACGACGUCGCGAUGCACGCCUGCACUGCAACCAAGGCCGACGACUUCGUGGCUGGCCAGAGUUGCCGUAAGUAUAAACGAAAUAAGAAAUGAAAAAAAAAAAAAAACAA